This 69-nucleotide transfer RNA is filed under the name Jaculus jaculus (lesser Egyptian jerboa). RNAcentral's name for it is "tRNA (ENSJJAG00000000029.1)". It matches the Rfam family "tRNA". From Rfam's summary of the family: Transfer RNA (tRNA) molecules are approximately 80 nucleotides in length. The record is from RNAcentral. Lineage: Eukaryota; Metazoa; Chordata; Mammalia; Rodentia; Dipodidae.
GUAGACAUAGUUUAUUAAAAACACCAGACUGUGAAUCUUGAAAUAAGAGACCUAAUCUCUUUGUCUACC